GAUGAACGCUGGCGGCGUGCCUAAUACAUGCAAGUCGAGCGAACAGACGAGGAGCUUGCUCCUCUGACGUUAGCGGCGGACGGGUGAGUAACACGUGGAUAACCUACCUAUAAGACUGGGAUAACUUCGGGAAACCGGAGCUAAUACCGGAUAAUAUAUUGAACCGCAUGGUUCAAUAGUGAAAGACGGUUUUGCUGUCACUUAUAGAUGGAUCCCCGCCGCAUUAGCUAGUUGGUAAGGUAACGGCUUACCAAGGCGACGAUGCGUAGCCGACCUGAGAGGGUGAUCGGCCACACUGGAACUGAGACACGGUCCAGACUCCUACGGGAGGCAGCAGUAGGGAAUCUUCCGCAAUGGGCGAAAGCCUGACGGAGCAACGCCGCGUGAGUGAUGAAGGUCUUCGGAUCGUAAAACUCUGUUAUUAGGGAAGAACAAAUGUGUAAGUAACUAUGCACGUCUUGACGGUACCUAAUCAGAAAGCCACGGCUAACUACGUG
This 497-nucleotide ribosomal RNA is filed under the name uncultured bacterium. Its description in RNAcentral is "partial 16S ribosomal RNA". It matches the Rfam family "Bacterial small subunit ribosomal RNA", at positions 28 to 507 of the family's 1533-position model. The record is from RNAcentral.